Pseudomassariella vexata is the source of this 89-nucleotide transfer RNA. It matches the Rfam family "tRNA". Rfam says of the family: Transfer RNA (tRNA) molecules are approximately 80 nucleotides in length. Their secondary structure includes four short double-helical elements and three loops (D, anti-codon, and T loops). The record is from Rfam. NCBI's taxonomy places the organism in Eukaryota, Fungi, Ascomycota, Sordariomycetes, Amphisphaeriales, Pseudomassariaceae.
GAUCCGGUAGCGUAAUGGCAACGCGUUACAUUUCGGUUAUAAUUGUAGCAGUUCUGUGAAGAUUGCGGGUUCGACUCCCGUCCGGAUCU